GGACCCAUAGCUCAACAGGAUAGAGCAACUGCCUUCUAAGCAGUAGGUUAGACGUUCGAGUCGUCUUGGGUCCGCCA
This 77-nucleotide transfer RNA is filed under the name Alphaproteobacteria bacterium. RNAcentral's name for it is "tRNA-Arg". It matches the Rfam family "tRNA". From Rfam's summary of the family: Transfer RNA (tRNA) molecules are approximately 80 nucleotides in length. The record is from RNAcentral. Lineage: Bacteria; Pseudomonadati; Pseudomonadota; Alphaproteobacteria.